Astyanax mexicanus (Mexican tetra) is the source of this 604-nucleotide long non-coding RNA. RefSeq lists it as uncharacterized. Lineage: Eukaryota; Metazoa; Chordata; Actinopteri; Characiformes; Acestrorhamphidae. The record is from RefSeq and is a predicted model, not a curated record. The transcript is spliced from 3 exons.
AUGUUUAAUUUAAUUGAAAUUGGAAAGAUCUAGCUAGCUAGGUUAGCUAAUGUUAACUAUAUUUCAGUGUGAAAUGUUUCAGCUAGCUUGGUUAGCUAAUGUUAACUACUUUAAGUGUGUUUGCUAGGUUAGCUAAUGUUUAAUUUAUUUGAAAGUGGAAAGAUCUAGCUAGCUAGGUUAGGUAAUGUUAACUACUUUAUUUAAGUGUGUUAGCUAGGCUAGCUGAUGUUUAAUUUAUUUGAAAGUGUUAACUACUCUAUUUAAGUGUGGAUUGUUUUAGCUGGCUAGGUUAGCUAAUGUUUACUUCAUUUCAAAGUGGACAGAUUUAGCUAGUUAGGUUAGCUCAUUUUAACUACUUUAUUUCAGAGUGGAAUUAUUUAGCUAGCUAUGUUAGCUAAUGUUAACCACUUUAUUUCAUAGUGAAAAGAUUUAGCUAGCUACUUUAGGUAAUGUUAACUACUUUAUUUCAGUGUGUAAUGUUUCAGCUAGCUACUUUAGGUAAUUUUAACCGCUUUUUUUCAGUGUGGAAUCUUUUAGCUAGCUAGGUUAGCUCAUUUUAACUACUCUAUUUCAGUGUGGAAUGUUUGAGCUAGCUACUUUAGGU